This is a long non-coding RNA of Rosa chinensis, 475 nucleotides long. RefSeq lists it as uncharacterized. The transcript is spliced from 3 exons. NCBI's taxonomy places the organism in Eukaryota, Viridiplantae, Streptophyta, Magnoliopsida, Rosales, Rosaceae. The record is from RefSeq and is a predicted model, not a curated record.
UCAGUGAGUAUAACAGCUCAUGAGUUUUUUUUUUUAUUGUUUUUUUUUUUAAAAUUUUGAAAUAGUUUCAUUUAUCAGAUCAUUGUUUUGACUCUUAACUAUAAUCUGCAGAAACUUGCUGGCAUGGGAGGUGAAGGUGGAAUGGGUGGGAUGAAUUUCUCGAAACUUGCUGGCAUGGGAGGAGGUGAUGAUGCAAUGGGUGACUUUGAUGAUAGCGAUGAUGAGUUCAUGCAUUCUUGGUUCUAAGAUACAGCAAAUGGGUGAUCAAGAAGAAGCUCUAGCCAAUAUGCAGUCUCCUAGCCUAAAUAUGACAGAUGUUGUCGGGGUGUCUGUGAAAUGUAACUUUGUCUCAACAGGUUGACUACUAAGUGUUGACAAUAGUUCCUCAGAGGUUUACAAAUAGCGAGUCAAGAAUCUACUUAAGUACCAAGUUCAUAGUUAGCUUAUUGAAGUUCUAAGUCAACAAUUUGCUUAU